Molecule: long non-coding RNA, 292 nt
Filed under: Homo sapiens (human)
Lineage: Eukaryota; Metazoa; Chordata; Mammalia; Primates; Hominidae
Description: non-protein coding lnc-SRSF2-4:3
Source: RNAcentral
AAGGGGCUGCAGCUGCUACUGUGUUCUCUGGGCUCCUUGCAUUCAGAGCCCGGAGCUACCAAGUGGGAGUCAGACCACCUGAGCCCUCAUGUCGUGAGGAUGCCCUAGGGACUGUAUUAGUCAUCUGUAACUGUGUAACAAAUGACCACAGAUUUCAUGGUUUAAAACCACACACGUACUGUGUCACAGUCUCUAUGGGCCAGGAUUCUGAACGGGGCUUAGCUGGGUCUUCUGUCUCCUCUCAAGCUGGGGUUUCAUCUGAAGGCUCAGCUGGGGAAAGAUCUGCUUCCAA